AUUGAACGCUGGCGGCAUGCUUUACACAUGCAAGUCGAACGGUAACAGGCCGCAAGGUGCUGACGAGUGGCGAACGGGUGAGUAAUGCAUCGGAACGUGCCCAGUCGUGGGGGAUAACGCAGCGAAAGCUGUGCUAAUACCGCAUACGAUCUAUGGAUGAAAGCGGGGGACCGUAAGGCCUCGCGCGAUUGGAGCGGCCGAUGUCAGAUUAGGUAGUUGGUGGGGUAAAGGCCCACCAAGCCAACGAGCUGUAGCUGGUCUGAGAGGACGACCAGCCACACUGGGACUGAGACACGGCCCAGACUCCUACGGGAGGCAGCAGUGGGGAAUUUUGGACAAUGGGCGCAAGCCUGAUCCAGCAAUGCCGCGUGCAGGAAGAAGGCCUUCGGGUUGUAAACUGCUUUUGUACGGAACGAAAAGGUCUGGGUUAAUACCCUGGGCCGAUGACGGUACCGUAAGAAUAAGCACCGGCUAACUACGUGCCAGCCGCCGCCGUAA
RNAcentral lists this ribosomal RNA (498 nucleotides) under uncultured bacterium. RNAcentral describes it as "partial 16S ribosomal RNA". It matches the Rfam family "Bacterial small subunit ribosomal RNA", at positions 29 to 523 of the family's 1533-position model. The record is from RNAcentral.